This is a small nuclear RNA of Monodelphis domestica (gray short-tailed opossum), 170 nucleotides long. Its record names the gene U2. It matches the Rfam family "U2 spliceosomal RNA". From Rfam's summary of the family: U2 is a small nuclear RNA (snRNA) component of the spliceosome (involved in pre-mRNA splicing). NCBI's taxonomy places the organism in Eukaryota, Metazoa, Chordata, Mammalia, Didelphimorphia, Didelphidae. The record is from Ensembl.
AUUGCUUCUCAACCUUUUGGCUAAGAUCAAGUGUAGUAUCUAUAUCCCAAUGAUGUUUGGGAUACUUAGUAUUUGGGCAGCUAGAACUCCUCUUCCUGAGUUAAAAUCCAGCCAAUCACUAGCUGUGUGGCCUUGGGUAAGUCACUUAACCCAGUUUGCCUCAGUUGUCU